This is a long non-coding RNA of Oxyura jamaicensis (ruddy duck), 127 nucleotides long. RefSeq lists it as uncharacterized. The transcript is spliced from 3 exons. Lineage: Eukaryota; Metazoa; Chordata; Aves; Anseriformes; Anatidae. The record is from RefSeq and is a predicted model, not a curated record.
CUAGAAGCUUGAAGAAACACAGUCCAUCAAGCACCUUGGAAGUCAGGUGUAAAGCACCCAAAAGGACUCAAGUGGAAUUCAAAGCUAGUAAUGCAAGAGCACACCAAGCUUAAAUGCACCUGGGUGC